GGUCAUUCUGUUCUUGAUAACUUUUAUACUAAGCUCAAGAAGUAACCAGAUGAUUAAUUCAUUACAUUUUACAUUUGGUUUAUUUUACUUUUUACUCUUGAAAGUUCGCUGACGUUUCUUUACAGUUUCUCUGAGUCCCGUAUGGAGUACGUUCGGAGUACAGUUUCUCCAAGUCCCAUAUUUGGAAAAGGUUCAAGAGGCGAUCCAGACACCCGGAAUUAUGAAGUUGUUUCUACCACUUUGUGAGUUGUUAGUUGUCCUCAUUCUUUUGACCACUGGUCAACAGUGCGAGGCUAGAAGACGAGAUCAUGCACUCAGCACCAGAAAAUCUAAAGAUCUUCUAAAAGACAA
Molecule: long non-coding RNA, 351 nt
Organism: Limulus polyphemus (Atlantic horseshoe crab)
Lineage: Eukaryota; Metazoa; Arthropoda; Merostomata; Xiphosura; Limulidae
Exons: 2
Source: RefSeq, a predicted model, not a curated record